CAAUAGCGUAUAUUAAAGUUGUUGCAGUUAAAAGCUCGUAGUUGGAUCUCAGGAGGACUUCAGUUGGUCGGCCUAACUGGUCAGAACCGUCUGUCUCUUCCUUGUUUCUGAAUCCCGCCCGGAGUUCAUUCUUCGGGUGUGGACUUCAGAUCGUUUACCUUGAAAAAUUAGAGUGUUCAAAGCGGGCGUUUGCUUGAAUAUAUUAGCAUGGAAUAAUGGAAUAGGACCCUGGUCCUAUUUUGUUGGUUUUGAGGACUAGAGUAAUGAUUAAUAGGGAUAGUUGGGGGCAUUCGUACUGGGCCGCCAGAGGUGAAAUUCUUUAACUGGCUCAUGACGAACCACUGCGAAAGCAUUUGCCAAGAAUGUUUUCAUUAAUCAAGAACGAAAGUCAGAGGGUCGAAGACGAUUAGAUACCAU
This 417-nucleotide ribosomal RNA is filed under the name uncultured eukaryote. RNAcentral describes it as "bacterial SSU rRNA". It matches the Rfam family "Eukaryotic small subunit ribosomal RNA", at positions 592 to 1018 of the family's 1831-position model. The record is from RNAcentral.